This 67-nucleotide transfer RNA is filed under the name Oreichthys cosuatis. RNAcentral's name for it is "tRNA-Cys". It matches the Rfam family "tRNA". From Rfam's summary of the family: Transfer RNA (tRNA) molecules are approximately 80 nucleotides in length. Lineage: Eukaryota; Metazoa; Chordata; Actinopteri; Cypriniformes; Cyprinidae. The record is from RNAcentral.
AACACCGUGGUGUAUAACAUGCAGGAUUGCAAAUCUUGAGAUGCAGAUUAAUUAUCUGCCGGCGUUU